AGCAGCCGCGGUAAUUCCAGCUCCAAUAGCGUAUAUUAAAGUUGUUGCAGUUAAAAAGCUCGUAGUUGAAUUUCGGGGCCAGUAGGUUGGUCGUGCCACUGGUAUGCACUGGCCUUACUGGUCCCUCCUUCUUGUAGAACCGUGAUGCCAUUAAUUUGGUGUUGCGGGGAAACAGGACUGUUACUUUGAAAAAAUUAGAGUGCUUAAAGCAGGCUCGCGCUUGAAUACAUUAGCAUGGAAUAACGGAAUAGGACGAUCGAACCUAUUUUGUUGGUUUCUAGGAUCGACGUAAUGAUUAAUAGGGAUAGUUGGGGGCAUUAGUAUUCAAUUGUCAGAGGUGAAAUUCUUGGAUUUAUUGAAGACUAACUACUGCGAAAGCAUUUGCCAAGGAUGUUUUCAUUAAUCAAGAACGAAAGUUAGGGGAUCGAAGACGAUCAGAUACCGUCGUAGUCUUAACCAUAAACUAUGCCGACUAG
Molecule: ribosomal RNA, 476 nt
Filed under: uncultured Glomus
Lineage: Eukaryota; Fungi; Glomeromycota; Glomeromycetes; Glomerales; Glomeraceae
Description: SSU rRNA
Rfam family: Eukaryotic small subunit ribosomal RNA
Source: RNAcentral